RNAcentral lists this non-coding RNA (23 nucleotides) under Arabidopsis thaliana (thale cress). The record is from RNAcentral. Lineage: Eukaryota; Viridiplantae; Streptophyta; Magnoliopsida; Brassicales; Brassicaceae.
GAAUAGGUUGGCCUCAUGAGCCA